This is a small nucleolar RNA of Scleropages formosus (Asian bonytongue), 128 nucleotides long. Ensembl annotates it as small nucleolar RNA SNORA77. Its record names the gene SNORA77B. The record is from Ensembl. NCBI's taxonomy places the organism in Eukaryota, Metazoa, Chordata, Actinopteri, Osteoglossiformes, Osteoglossidae.
GCAGACUCACUCUGUUCCAUGCUGACCGGUCCAGCUUGGUACUUUUUCUGUCUGCUAUAUUAGAUUGCAGAAUGUAGUAAACACCAGCCUUUUCAUAGGCAAGUGUUGGUAUGUUCUGAAACAUUUGA